This is a long non-coding RNA of Syngnathus acus (greater pipefish), 1885 nucleotides long. RefSeq lists it as uncharacterized. The transcript is spliced from 3 exons. Lineage: Eukaryota; Metazoa; Chordata; Actinopteri; Syngnathiformes; Syngnathidae. The record is from RefSeq and is a predicted model, not a curated record.
CCCGAAUCCCCCUGUUCGGAUGCUCGGAGUCUCUUCAUGAGGGUGGUGACUCUGACAGCUUUCUGUGAGUAAUCAAAUACAAGCACACUCCCCAUGUGUGAAGAUGCUCACUCAGAGACCGUGUUAGAGCGAGAGAGCGAGAGAGUCGGGGACAAACAUAACACUUCUCUCCAUCUGUGACCUCCCAGCUUCUCCAUCCACUCUGUCAAUGCAAGUGCAACAAUGGAGGAGUGUGACAGAGCGAGGAAGAUUGCCUCGUUAUUCAGGUGCCGCACUGCAGAAAAACAUGUGCGAGGUACAGCCUCAAAGGCCGACAUGAUCGAGCUGUAGUCCAAAUGAGGUGGAUUCCUAACACAGCUACUGGACAGAUGUACUGAAGUCUUUGUCAAGUGCCUGAAUAAGAGAAAAGAAAAAGUAAGUUCAUCUACUUUGUUAAAAAAAACGUACAACAAAUUGUUGCCGUGUGGUAUUUACAGCAUAGCGCCGUUUGUGAGUGUGUAAAUGUAAAAUAUUUAUAAAUAUGUAGACUCAAAGACAACAGAAUUAAUAUUUGAACAGGCUUUAGGGGGUUUCCUUCUAUUUUCUUCAGCUAUUGCUCAUUCUGGGUUGGCCCCUGGGUCCCGUGUGUGUGUGUGUGUGUUCUUGCAAAAGUGUGUGUCUGCGUGUGUAGUGAUUUAGAUAUUACUGGCGUUGGGCCGAAUUCUGGUAUCCUCAAAGCCGUCACGUUCAGGGGAAAAAAAAUAAUCCACUGAGUGGCAAACGUUUGCAAGUGUUUGCAAAGAUAGUGAAUGUUGAUUUUUCAUCAAGGUUUGUUCAAAGUUGCAAACGCUCACAAAAACAUUCUCCAGAUGUUCGCCAAACUUUCUAUUUACAACCACUCCAACUGUUGACGAAUGUCUGGUAACGCUUCAACAAUGGCUUUUGUUAAUAAUUCCAAGGAUGAAUUGUGCAGACAGUAAAAGCAAUUGUAUUCUUGCUUGUGGAUGCAGCCCUUAAUCCCCAAGCCACUGAAUUACAUAGCCAUUGAAUAGUCUUCACUAUUAAAACACAUAUGAAAUCGAUUUUGAAUUGCAGCAGCAGAAUUUUCACUUUGUGUUUAUUCAAGACUCAUGGGGGCAAAGCAAAGGGAGAGAAUACAAAAAAAUGUACAACAAUGUUAUUUACACUUGAACCUUUACUGAAGGGAAGAGAAUGCCGUAAGAAGAGGCCUGGAAAUAGUCCUUAACUUGAAAAAUUAGCCUUGAAAGUCAUUACCAUAAUAAAAAGACACAAUGAUGAGUUGUCCAGCGGUUUAGCAGAUUUUGCAUGCUUGGGGGGUGUUUGUGUAACACCUUUAUUGUAAUGUUGACGUAGUGAGGCGCAUCACUGCGGCAGCUUCACAGCAGUAACGGCAAAAGACAAUCUCGGGUGCCCUCUAGCGCUGAUUAAAUAUACUUUUUCAACCUCAGGCGUCGUGUAUAAAGCACACCACUACAAAUAGACUGAGUUCAUCUUCAUCCAGUGGACUGCUUUUCACAUGUAGAUAUGAUCCCUCUAUAUUGCUAACUAUGUCCACAAAAGUUGUUCCCUGAGCUUAAGGUAGUUAAUGCCACCGUACUUACAUAAAUGGUUAAAAAUCUGUCGAGACAAAAGUUUACAUUCAUUUGGCCUUACUUGUAUUUCACAUCCGUUUUUGUUUUUUAUUUCAAGCUCUAUUUUGUCUCAAGACCCUUUGUUGUAACAGGAUGUGGAACUUUCACAGUCUCACAAAUCAUUUGCUGGAUUUAUACUGCAUGUCUAAGAGGCUUAUUCCAAUUUGAUUUAAAUCUAUGUUUUUUUUGUAAUGACAGGCAGAAUAAUUCAAUGCUCUUCCACUGGACGGCAGAAGGUAAAAUUGUCAUUCAUA